RNAcentral lists this long non-coding RNA (517 nucleotides) under Citrus x clementina. RNAcentral's name for it is "Citrus clementina (C. clementina) long non-coding RNA (CCLE_LNC003057)". The record is from RNAcentral. Lineage: Eukaryota; Viridiplantae; Streptophyta; Magnoliopsida; Sapindales; Rutaceae.
AGGAUAAAAUUAUCAAAAAAUAGGGUUUGUGCUUUUCGCCCCAACAAUUUUAAUUUUUUUUUUAAUUAUUUUCGUUUACAAACUGUUAUUAAGGGUAAUAUUAUCUUUGCACAGUUAACUAACGGUCAAUGUUAAAGUUAACUGAUAGUAGGAGAUUUUUUACAAAUAAAUAAAUUUUCGCCAUCUACUUGCAACAAGCCCAAACCGGAGGUUUUUAAAAAUUAUCCAUUUUUACCAUCCCUACCCGUGACUCAAACUCAUUAAAGAUGAGGGUAUUACCGUAAAAACACAUGACUACAAACGCCCCGUGAUCGCGAUCGCGAUCAUGAUCCUCUUAAAUUAUAUCAACCAUCAAUCAUUAAUUUGUAGCCAGCUCCGAGUAGAGAUGGCAAAACCCCGGGCCGGGUCCGGGUAUUGCCAUGACCGGACCCUGCCCGGAUGCAACCGGUCCGGGUCCGGGUCCGGGCCGGGUUUUAAUCCGGGUACCCGGAUUUUAUAUUUUUUAAUAUUUUAUGUG